ACGGGAGGCAGCAGUGGGGAAUAUUGCACAAUGGGGGAAACCCUGAUGCAGCGACGCCGCGUGGGUGAAGAAGUAUUUCGGUAUGUAAAGCUCUAUCAGCAGGGAAGAUAAUGACGGUACCUGACUAAGAAGCACCGGCUAAAUACGUGCCAGCAGCCGCGGUAAUACGUAUGGUGCAAGCGUUAUCCGGAUUUACUGGGUGUAAAGGGAGCGUAGGUGGUUUGGCAAGCCAGAAGUGAAAACCCGGGGCUCAACCCCGUGGAUUGCUUUUGGAACUGUUGAACUAGAGUGCAGGAGGGGUAAGCGGAAUUCCCAGUGUAGCGGUGAAAUGCUUAGAUAUUGGGAGGAACACCAGUGGCGAAGGCGGCUUACUGGACUGUAAAUGACACUGAGGCUCGAAAGCGUGGGGAGCAAACAGGAUUAGAUACCCUGGUA
This 435-nucleotide ribosomal RNA is filed under the name uncultured Lachnospiraceae bacterium. RNAcentral's name for it is "partial 16S ribosomal RNA". It matches the Rfam family "Bacterial small subunit ribosomal RNA", at positions 341 to 792 of the family's 1533-position model. The record is from RNAcentral. Lineage: Bacteria; Bacillati; Bacillota; Clostridia; Lachnospirales; Lachnospiraceae.